Molecule: ribosomal RNA, 480 nt
Filed under: uncultured bacterium
Lineage: Bacteria
Description: bacterial SSU rRNA
Rfam family: Bacterial small subunit ribosomal RNA
Source: RNAcentral
GAUCAGUCGGCUACAGGACGAACGCUGGCGGCGUGCUUAACACAUGCAAGUCGAACGGUGAACCAGGGCUUGCCCUGGGGAUCAGUGGCGAACGGGUGAGUAACACGUGGGCAACCUGCCCCUGACUCUGGGAUAACUCCUCGAAAGAGGUGCUAAUACCGGAUACGACCACUUCGGGCAUCCGAUGGUGGUGGAAAGAAUUUUGGUCAGGGAUGGGCCCGCGGCCUAUCAGCUUGUGUGGGGUAACGGCCCACCAAGGCGACGACGGGUAGCCGGCCUGAGAGGGCGACCGGCCACACUGGGACUGAGACACGGCCCAGACUCCUACGGGAGGCAGCAGUGGGAAAUAUUGCGCAAUGGGCGAAAGCCUGACGCAGCGACGCCGCGUGAGGGACGACGGCCUUCGGGUUGUAAACCUCUUUCAGCAGGGACGAAGCGAAAGUGACGGUACCUGCAGAAGAAGCACCGGCUAACUACGUG